Molecule: ribosomal RNA, 887 nt
Filed under: Metabacillus sp.
Lineage: Bacteria; Bacillati; Bacillota; Bacilli; Caryophanales; Bacillaceae
Description: bacterial SSU rRNA
Rfam family: Bacterial small subunit ribosomal RNA
Source: RNAcentral
AGUCGAGCGGACUUGCUGGAGCUUGCUCCAGCAGGUUAGCGGCGGACGGGUGAGUAACACGUGGGCAACCUGCCUGUAAGACUGGGAUAACUCCGGGAAACCGGAGCUAAUACCGGAUAGUAUCUUGAACCGCAUGGUUCAAGUUGGAAAGACGGUUUCGGCUGUCACUUACAGAUGGGCCCGCGGCGCAUUAGCUAGUUGGUGAGGUAAUGGCUCACCAAGGCAACGAUGCGUAGCCGACCUGAGAGGGUGAUCGGCCACACUGGGACUGAGACACGGCCCAGACUCCUACGGGAGGCAGCAGUAGGGAAUCUUCCGCAAUGGACGAAAGUCUGACGGAGCAACGCCGCGUGAGUGAUGAAGGUUUUCGGAUCGUAAAACUCUGUUGUUAGGGAAGAACAAGUGCGAGAGUAACUGCUCGCACCUUGACGGUACCUAACCAGAAAGCCACGGCUAACUACGUGCCAGCAGCCGCGGUAAUACGUAGGUGGCAAGCGUUGUCCGGAAUUAUUGGGCGUAAAGCGCGCGCAGGCGGUUUCUUAAGUCUGAUGUGAAAGCCCCCGGCUCAACCGGGGAGGGUCAUUGGAAACUGGGAAACUUGAGUGCAGAAGAGGAGAGUGGAAUUCCACGUGUAGCGGUGAAAUGCGUAGAGAUGUGGAGGAACACCAGUGGCGAAGGCGACUCUCUGGUCUGUAACUGACGCUGAGGCGCGAAAGCGUGGGGAGCGAACAGGAUUAGAUACCCUGGUAGUCCACGCCGUAAACGAUGAGUGCUAAGUGUUAGAGGGUUUCCGCCCUUUAGUGCUGCAGCUAACGCAUUAAGCACUCCGCCUGGGGAGUACGGUCGCAAGACUGAAACUCAAAGGAAUUGACGGGGGCCCGCACAAG